This 1479-nucleotide ribosomal RNA is filed under the name uncultured bacterium. Its description in RNAcentral is "bacterial SSU rRNA". It matches the Rfam family "Bacterial small subunit ribosomal RNA". The record is from RNAcentral.
ACGAACGCUGGCGGCGCGCUUAACACAUGCAAGUCGAACGGGCGUCUUCGGACGUCAGUGGCGAACGGGUGCGUAACACGUGAGUGACCUGCCCUCGUGCGGGGGAUAACCCGGGGAAACCCGGGCUAAGACCGCAUGAACUCGGUUUGUCGAGGCGGAUCGAGGAAAUCUCCUUUCGGGGAGAGUGCGAGGAGGGGCUCGCGGCGUAUCAGGUAGUUGGUGGGGUAACGGCCCACCAAGCCGAUGACGCGUAGGGGGUCUGAGAGGAUGGCCCCCCACAUUGGGACUGAGAUACGGCCCAGACUCCUACGGGAGGCAGCAGUGGGGAAUCUUGCGCAAUGGCCGAAAGGCUGACGCAGCGACGCCGCGUGCGGGAGGAAGCUCUUCGGGGUGUAAACCGCUGUCAGGGGGGGCGAAGGUCCCGGGGAGGCAAUGCCCCGGGGAUGACGGUACCUCCAGAGGAAGCACCGGCUAACUCCGUGCCAGCAGCCGCGGUAAUACGGAGGGUGCGAGCGUUGUUCGGAAUUAUUGGGCGUAAAGCGCGCGUAGGCGGCUCGGUAAGUCCUACUGUGAAAGCCCGGGGCUCAACCCCGGGAGGCCAGGAGAUACUGCCGGGCUGGAGACAGGCAGAGGCGAGUGGAAUUCCGGGUGUAGCGGUGGAAUGCGUAGAGAUCCGGAGGAACACCGGAGGCGAAGGCGGCUCGCUGGGCCUGGUCUGACGCUGAGGCGCGAAAGCGUGGGGAGCGAACAGGAUUAGAUACCCUGGUAGUCCACGCCGUAAAUGAUGGACACUAGAUGCCGGUGGGAACGACCCCUUCGGUGUCGAAGCUAACGCAUUAAGUGUCCCGCCUGGGGAGUACGGCCGCAAGGCUGAAACUCAAAGGAAUUGACGGGGGCCCGCACAAGCGGUGGAGCAUGUGGUUUAAUUCGAAGCAACGCGAAGAACCUUACCUGGACUUGACAUGCACAUGAAAGCCCGGUGAAAGCCGGGGCCUCUUUCGGGACGUGUGCACAGGUGCUGCAUGGCUGUCGUCAGCUUGUGUCGUGAGAUGUUGGGUUAAGUCCCGCAACGAGCGCAACCCCUGCCUGCUGUUGCUAACGGGUAAAGCCGAGGACUCUGCAGGGACUGCCGGUGAUAAACCGGAGGAAGGUGGGGACGACGUCAAGUCAUCAUGGUCCUUACGUCCAGGGCUACACACGUGCUACAAUGGCCGGGACAAACCGAAGCGAUGCCGCGAGGUGGAGCGAAUCGGAAAAACCCGGUCCAAGUUCGGAUUGCAGUCUGCAACUCGAGUGCAUGAAGGUGGAAUCGCUAGUAAUCGCGUAACAGCAUGACGCGGUGAAUACGUUCCCGGGCCUUGUACACACCGCCCGUCACACCAUGGGAGUUGGUUUUACCCGAAGCCGGUGCGCUAACCGCAAGGAGGCAGCCGACCACGGUAAGGUCAGCGAGUGGGGUGAAGUCGUAACAAGGUAACC